CUAAACAUAUUACCGAAGCUGUGGAUUGUCCUUUGGACAAUGGUAGGAGAGCGUUCUAAGGGCGUUGAAGCAUGAUCGCAAGGACAUGUGGAGCGCUUAGAAGUGAGAAUGCCGGUGUGAGUAGCGAAAGACGGGUGAGAAUCCCGUCCACCGAUUGACUAAGGUUUCCAGAGGAAGGCUCGUCCGCUCUGGGUUAGUCGGGUCCUAAGCUGAGGCCGACAGGCGUAGGCGAUGGAUAACAGGUUGAUAUUCCUGUACCACCAUUAUUCGUUUUAAGCGAUGGGGGGACGCAGUAGGAUAGGCGAAGCGUGCUGUUGGAGUGCACGUCCAAGCAGUGAGAUUGAGUGUUAGGCAAAUCCGGCACUCUUAAGAUUGAGCUGUGAUGGGGAGAGGAACUUGUUCCUCGAGUCGUUGAUUUCACACUGCCGAGAAAAGCCUCUAGCUAGAAUAACGGUGCCCGUACCGCAAACCGACACAGGUAGUCAAGAUGAGAAUUCUAAGGUGAGCGAGCGAACUCUCGUUAAGGAACUCGGCAAAAUGACCCCGUAACUUCGGGAGAAGGGGUGCUCUUUGAGGUUCACGCUUCGAAGAGCCGCAGUGAAUAGGCCCAAGCGACUGUUUAUCAAAAACACAGGUCUCUGCUAAACCGUAAGGUGACGUAUAGGGGCUGACGCCUGCCCGGUGCUGGAAGGUUAAGAGGAGUGGUUAGCGCAAGCGAAGCUACGAAUCGAAGCCCCAGUAAACGGCGGCCGUAACUAUAACGGUCCUAAGGUAGCGAAAUUCCUUGUCGGGUAAGUUCCGACCCGCACGAAAGGCGUAACGAUUUGGGCACUGUCUCAACGAGAGACUCGGUGAAAUCAUAGUACCGGUGAAGAUGCCGGUUACCCGCGACAGGACGGAAAGACCCCGUGGAGCUUUACUGUAGCCUGAUAUUGAAAUUCGGUACAGUUUGUACAGGAUAGGUAGGAGCCUUAGAAGCGUGAGCGCUAGCUUACGUGGAGGCAUUGGUGGGAUACUACCCUAAUUGUAUUGGAUUUCUAACCCGCAGCACUUAUCGUGCUGGGAGACAGUGUCAGGCGGGCAGUUUGACUGGGGCGGUCGCCUCCUAAAGAGUAACGGAGGCGCUCAAAGGUUCCCUCAGAAUGGUUGGAAAUCAUUCAUAGAGUGUAAAGGCAUAAGGGAGCUUGACUGCGAGACCUACAAGUCGAGCAGGGUCGAAAGACGGACUUAGUGAUCCGGUGGUUCCGCAUGGAAGGGCCAUCGCUCAACGGAUAAAAGCUACCCCGGGGAUAACAGGCUUAUCUCCCCCAAGAGUUCACAUCGACGGGGAGGUUUGGCACCUCGAUGUCGGCUCAUCGCAUCCUGGGGCUGUAGUCGGUCCCAAGGGUUGGGCUGUUCGCCCAUUAAAGCGGUACGCGAGCUGGGUUCAGAACGUCGUGAGACAGUUCGGUCCCUAUCCGUCGUGGGCGUAGGAAAUUUGAGAGGAGCUGUCCUUAGUACGAGAGGACCGGGAUGGACAUACCUCUGGUGUACCAGUUGUCGUGCCAACGGCAUAGCUGGGUAGCUAUGUAUGGACGGGAUAAGUGCUGAAAGCAUCUAAGCAUGAAGCCCCCCUCGAGAUGAGAUUUCCCAACUUC
This 1637-nucleotide ribosomal RNA is filed under the name Staphylococcus pseudintermedius. RNAcentral's name for it is "partial 23S ribosomal RNA". It matches the Rfam family "Bacterial large subunit ribosomal RNA", at positions 1181 to 2821 of the family's 2925-position model. Lineage: Bacteria; Bacillati; Bacillota; Bacilli; Caryophanales; Staphylococcaceae. The record is from RNAcentral.